RNAcentral lists this ribosomal RNA (484 nucleotides) under uncultured bacterium. RNAcentral describes it as "partial 16S ribosomal RNA". It matches the Rfam family "Bacterial small subunit ribosomal RNA", at positions 30 to 507 of the family's 1533-position model. The record is from RNAcentral.
AUUGAACGCUGGCGGCAGGCCUAACACAUGCAAGUCGAGCGGAUGAAGGGAGCUUGCUCCUGGAUUCAGCGGCGGACGGGUGAGUAAUGCCUAGGAAUCUGCCUGGUAGUGGGGGAUAACGUCCGGAAACGGGCGCUAAUACCGCAUACGUCCUGAGGGUGAAAGUGGGGGAUCUUCGGACCUCACGCUAUCAGAUGAGCCUAGGUCGGAUUAGCUAGUUGGUUGGGUAAAGGCCUACCAAGGCGACGAUCCGUAACUGGUCUGAGAGGAUGAUCAGUCACACUGGAACUGAGACACGGUCCAGACUCCUACGGGAGGCAGCAGUGGGGAAUAUUGGACAAUGGGCGAAAGCCUGAUCCAGCCAUGCCGCGUGUGUGAAGAAGGUCUUCGGAUUGUAAAGCACUUUAAGUUGGGAGGAAGGGCAGUAAGUUAAUACCUUGCUGUUUUGACGUUACCAACAGAAUAAGCACCGGCUAACUUCGUG